This 232-nucleotide ribosomal RNA is filed under the name uncultured bacterium. RNAcentral's name for it is "partial 16S ribosomal RNA". It matches the Rfam family "Bacterial small subunit ribosomal RNA", at positions 118 to 347 of the family's 1533-position model. The record is from RNAcentral.
UGAGCAAUCUGCCCUUCUCAUCGGAAUAAGCGGUGGAAACGACGUCUAAUGCCGAAUACGACCUCCUUUCGCAUGAUCGGAGGUGGAAAGCUCCGGCGGAGAAGGAUGAGCUCGCGGCCUAUCAGCUAGUUGGUGUGGGUAAUGGCCCACCAAGGCGACGACGGGUAGCCGGCCUGAGAGGGUGACCGGCCACACUGGGACUGAGACACGGCCCAGACUCCUACGGGAGCAG